RNAcentral lists this long non-coding RNA (685 nucleotides) under Homo sapiens (human). RNAcentral's name for it is "PREDICTED lncRNA (TCONS_00139159)". Lineage: Eukaryota; Metazoa; Chordata; Mammalia; Primates; Hominidae. The record is from RNAcentral.
GGUUACCUGGAGUCGCAUUGGGUCUAGAGUCGUUCCGGUCCCGCGGGGCAUGCUUUGAAGAGGCCUUCGUGUCAGGAAGAGGACUGGGCCUUGGCCCUCCCCCGCCGCCUCUAGGGCCGCAGCAAAUAGCAGCGCUGUUUUUCCAGAUCCUGGUGUACCGAGCAGCAGCAAAGGCGGUCCGGCGGCAGGCAUGUUCUCCUCCCCGGACCAGGCCGCACCGCCCCUGGUUAGCACCCGCCUCAGCGUCUCCGCCAUUCGCCGCGUAGCUCUGACCAAUCGGUGGCUCGUUCCCAGCCUUAGUCCCGCCCAAGCCGUGGCCGCAUCGUAGAGAUGGGGUUUCACCAUGUUGGCGAGGCUGGUCUCAAACUCCUGACCUCAGAUGAUCCGCCUGUCUUGGCCUCCCAGAGUGCCAGGAUUAUAGGCAUGAGCCACUGUGUCUGGCCUGUCUUCACAUCUUGACAGAAGAAGAUUUACCAUAGAGGAGAAUCAUGGAGGAAUGUACCUGCCUGCAGAGACAUGGUCUUGCUCUGUCACCCAGGCUACAGUGCAGUGGCAUCAUCACAGCUCACGACAGUCUCGACUUCCUGGGCUCAAGGGACUCCCAUCUCAGCCUCCUGCAUAGCCGGGACUACAGGUACGCACCAACAUGCCCAGCUAAUUUUAAAAUAUAUAUAUAUAUAUAUAU